GGGCUCUGCCGGCAGCCUCGGCGCGUUCAUCCUCCGAGGAGCAGGCUGGAGCUGGAGCGGGAGCAGCGCGGCCAUCCGAUCCGCACAGGUUUUUAGGUAGUCACAAGGGCGAACAGAGACAAAUCAUUGAAGAUUGACACUGGAAGCUGUGGUAAAUGUCUAACAAUACUCCAGCAGAACACAGCUGGGUGAAUACAACACUGCCUGACAGAGAUGUCAUGUGAUGCAUACUCAAAAAAGCAUUGCUUUUGUCACUAGCUAAGAAAGAACCAUUCUUCAGAGAAGGAAACAUCAUUCAAUAAUAAUAGUAAUAAUGAUUAAUAAUAACAAUAGGAGCAAGAACAAUAGCAAUACAUUUGCUUGAAUUCCUGAACAUUUAACUGCCACGUCACAUAAAGGCACAGAUGAAGCUGAACGAGCUGUGGACUUUAUGCUGCAUUUUAGGUGCCAGGCACUUGGUUAUACAUUGCAUAUCCAAGCUGUUCCCCUAAUUCUAUUCCAUCUGCACAUAUCAUCUGCACAUAUCUCUGUGAACUUCUUGACCAAAAAAAAAAAAACAAAAAACCCAACCAAAACCAAAAACAAACAAACAAAAAAUCCCAGCCCAACAAAAAAAAAGCACUAAACAACUGAACUGCUCACAGUUCGACUUUGGCAUGCAGAAACAAGAAAACGGAAAGAAGAGAUUUCUGUUCAGUUGAGAAUGAGAGGUCUCAGUUCAAAGAGCUUCCAUCAGGCUUCAGACAGUCCUGAUGCCUUUGGCUUUAUUGGGACAGUUAGCAUGAGGGAAAGGCUAGAGGAUCUCACAUUAAUCCUCUUGCUCUCUAUAAGCUUCAAAGUGUAUCAGUUACUUGAGUUGCUUUUAAUUUGUCCUAAUUAAUCUUCUGCAGUGUGAUAUUGUGCCAUAAUAUCUUAAGUCAGCUAUACAGUUCGUAAGCUGAAAUGUACAGUAGAAUCUUGUAUUGCCUUGGAGUGCCUCAUUUGGUUGGUAGACAAUCAAUUUAUUAUUAAGUGUGAUUGGUAUCUUGUACAUCCUUGCAAGGUAAAUCAAAAGUAAUGGAGUGUAAAAAUAUUCCAGCAUAAGAAAAUCUGUAAACUACAAGCCAGCAAGCUGUAAUCAUCACAAAAAA
Molecule: non-coding RNA, 1130 nt
Organism: Meleagris gallopavo (turkey)
Lineage: Eukaryota; Metazoa; Chordata; Aves; Galliformes; Phasianidae
Source: RefSeq, a predicted model, not a curated record